Molecule: ribosomal RNA, 340 nt
Filed under: uncultured bacterium
Lineage: Bacteria
Description: bacterial SSU rRNA
Rfam family: Bacterial small subunit ribosomal RNA
Source: RNAcentral
CCUCCAGACUCCUACGGGAGGCAGCAGUGGGGAAUAUUGCACAAUGGGGGGAACCCUGAUGCAGCGACGCCGCGUGAGUGAAGAAGUAUUUCGGUAUGUAAAGCUCUAUCAGCAGGGAAGAAAAUGACGGUACCUGAUUAAGAAGCCCCGGCUAACUACGUGCCAGCAGCCGCGGUAAUACGUAGGGGGCAAGCGUUAUCCGGAUUUACUGGGUGUAAAGGGAGCGUAGACGGCAGCGCAAGUCUGGAGUGAAAUGCCGGGGCCCAACCCCGGAACUGCUUUGAAAAUUGUGCAGCUCGAGUGCAGGAGAGGUAAGCGAAAUUCCUAGUGUGGCGGUAAA